GACGAACGCUGGCGGCGUGCCUAAUACAUGCAAGUAGAACGCUGAAGGAGGAGCUUGCUCUUCUGGAUGAGUUGCGAACGGGUGAGUAACGCGUAGGUAACCUGCCUGGUAGCGGGGGAUAACUAUUGGAAACGAUAGCUAAUACCGCAUAACAGUAGAUGUUGCAUGACAUUUACUUAAAAGGUGCAAUUGCAUCACUACCAGAUGGACCUGCGUUGUAUUAGCUAGUUGGUGGGGUAACGGCUCACAAAGGCGACGAUACAUAGCCGACCUGAGAGGGUGAUCGGCCACACUGGGACUGAGACACGGCCCAGACUCCUACGGGAGGCAGCAGUAGGGAAUCGUCGGCAAUGGACGGAAGUCUGACCGAGCAACGCCGCGUGAGUGAAGAAGGUUUUCGGAUCGUAAAGCUCUGUUGUAAGAGAAGAACGAGUGUGAGAGUGGAAAGUUCACACUGUGACGGUAUCUUACCAGAAAGGGACGGCUAACUACGUG
This 495-nucleotide ribosomal RNA is filed under the name uncultured bacterium. RNAcentral describes it as "partial 16S ribosomal RNA". It matches the Rfam family "Bacterial small subunit ribosomal RNA", at positions 28 to 507 of the family's 1533-position model. The record is from RNAcentral.